This 433-nucleotide ribosomal RNA is filed under the name uncultured bacterium. RNAcentral's name for it is "partial 16S ribosomal RNA". It matches the Rfam family "Bacterial small subunit ribosomal RNA", at positions 29 to 507 of the family's 1533-position model. The record is from RNAcentral.
AACGAACGCUGGCGGCAUGCCUAACACAUGCAAGUCGAACGAGACCUUCGGGUCUAGUGGCGCACGGGUGCGUAACGCGUGGGAACCUGCCCUUAGGUUCGGAAUAACUCCCCGAAAGGGGUGCUAAUACCGGAUAAUGUCUUCGGACCAAAGAUUUAUCGCCUUUGGAUGGGCCCGCGUUGCAUUAGCUAGUUGGUAGGGUAAAAGCCUACCAAGGCGACAAUCCAUAGCUGGUCUGAGAGGAUGAUCAGCCACACUGAGACUGAGACACGGCCCAGACUCCUACGGGAUGCAGCAGUGGGGAAUAUUGGAAAGUGGGCGAAAGCAUGAUCCAGCAAUGCCGCGUGAGUGAUGAAGGCCUGAGGGUUGUAAAGCUCUUUUACCCGGGAUGAUAAUGACAGUACCGGGAGAGUAAGCUCCGGCUAACUCCGUG